This 1482-nucleotide ribosomal RNA is filed under the name Escherichia coli. Its description in RNAcentral is "partial 23S ribosomal RNA". It matches the Rfam family "Bacterial large subunit ribosomal RNA", at positions 1 to 1529 of the family's 2925-position model. The record is from RNAcentral. Lineage: Bacteria; Pseudomonadati; Pseudomonadota; Gammaproteobacteria; Enterobacterales; Enterobacteriaceae.
GUUAAGCGACUAAGCGUACACGGUGGAUGCCCUGGCAGUCAGAGGCGAUGAAGGACGUGCUAAUCUGCGAUAAGCGUCGGUGAGGUGAUAUGAACCGUUAUAACCGGCGAUUUCCGAAUGGGGAAACCCAGUGUGUUUCGACACACUAUCAUUAACUGAAUCCAUAGGUUAAUGAGGCGAACCGGGGGAACUGAAACAUCUAAGUACCCCGAGGAAAAGAAAUCAACCGAGAUUCCCCCAGUAGCGGCGAGCGAACGGGGAGGAGCCCAGAGCCUGAAUCAGUGUGUGUGUUAGUGGAAGCGUCUGGAAAGGCGCGCGAUACAGGGUGACAGCCCCGUACACAAAAAUGCACAUACUGUGAGCUCGAUGAGUAGGGCGGGACACGUGGUAUCCUGUCUGAAUAUGGGGGGACCAUCCUCCAAGGCUAAAUACUCCUGACUGACCGAUAGUGAACCAGUACCGUGAGGGAAAGGCGAAAAGAACCCCGGCGAGGGGAGUGAAAAAGAACCUGAAACCGUGUACGUACAAGCAGUGGGAGCCUCUUAAUGGGGUGACUGCGUACCUUUUGUAUAAUGGGUCAGCGACUUAUAUUCUGUAGCAAGGUUAACCGAAUAGGGGAGCCGAAGGGAAACCGAGUCUUAACUGGGCGUUAAGUUGCAGGGUAUAGACCCGAAACCCGGUGAUCUAGCCAUGGGCAGGUUGAAGGUUGGGUAACACUAACUGGAGGACCGAACCGACUAAUGUUGAAAAAUUAGCGGAUGACUUGUGGCUGGGGGUGAAAGGCCAAUCAAACCGGGAGAUAGCUGGUUCUCCCCGAAAGCUAUUUAGGUAGCGCCUCGUGAAUUCAUCUCCGGGGGUAGAGCACUGUUUCGGCAAGGGGGUCAUCCCGACUUACCAACCCGAUGCAAACUGCGAAUACCGGAGAAUGUUAUCACGGGAGACACACGGCGGGUGCUAACGUCCGUCGUGAAGAGGGAAACAACCCAGACCGCCAGCUAAGGUCCCAAAGUCAUGGUUAAGUGGGAAACGAUGUGGGAAGGCCCAGACAGCCAGGAUGUUGGCUUAGAAGCAGCCAUCAUUUAAAGAAAGCGUAAUAGCUCACUGGUCGAGUCGGCCUGCGCGGAAGAUGUAACGGGGCUAAACCAUGCACCGAAGCUGCGGCAGCGACGCUUAUGCGUUGUUGGGUAGGGGAGCGUUCUGUAAGCCUGUGAAGGUGGCCUGUGAGGGUUGCUGGAGGUAUCAGAAGUGCGAAUGCUGACAUAAGUAACGAUAAAGCGGGUGAAAAGCCCGCUCGCCGGAAGACCAAGGGUUCCUGUCCAACGUUAAUCGGGGCAGGGUGAGUCGACCCCUAAGGCGAGGCCGAAAGGCGUAGUCGAUGGGAAACAGGUUAAUAUUCCUGUACUUGGUGUUACUGCGAAGGGGGGACGGAGAAGGCUAUGUUGGCCGGGCGACGGUUGUCCCGGUUUAAGCGUGUAGGCUGGU